Molecule: ribosomal RNA, 253 nt
Filed under: uncultured bacterium
Lineage: Bacteria
Description: partial 16S ribosomal RNA
Rfam family: Bacterial small subunit ribosomal RNA
Source: RNAcentral
GACAGAGGUGCCGAGCGUUAGGCGGAAUCACUGGGCUUAAAGCGUGUGUAGGCGGACCGUUAAGUACCUUGUGAAAUCCCACGGCUCAACCGUGGAACGGCUGGGUAGACUGGCGGUCUUGAGCGGCCUAGGGGCAGAUGGAACAGACGGUGGAGCGGUGAAAUGCGUAGAUAUCGUCUGGAACGCCAAAGGUGAAGACAGUCUGCUGGGGGCCUGCUGACGCUGAGACACGAAAGCCAGGGGAGCGAACGGG